CUCCAGCUGACGAGUCCCAAAUAGGACGAAGCGUGCAACAAACUGGAU
Schistosoma curassoni is the source of this 48-nucleotide non-coding RNA. The record is from Rfam. Lineage: Eukaryota; Metazoa; Platyhelminthes; Trematoda; Strigeidida; Schistosomatidae.